GCUGGGUGUGGUGGCGCAUGCCUGUAAUACCAGAGACUUGGGAGGCUGAAGCAGGAGGAUCACAAGUUCAAAGCCAGUCUCAGCAACUCAGUGAGACCCUGUCUCUA
Molecule: small RNA, 107 nt
Filed under: Marmota monax (woodchuck)
Lineage: Eukaryota; Metazoa; Chordata; Mammalia; Rodentia; Sciuridae
Source: RNAcentral